GAGAAAAUGCUAGUGUACGUAUACAUGCCUAAUAAAAGCUUAAAUUUAUUUAUAUUUGGUAAGUUAAUUAUGCCAUCAUACUAAAAAUCGAAUGGAUCUCUGUUUUUGCAAGGUUUUGGACUUGGAUGAAUAACAUUGCUGGAAGAAACGUUUCGAGAUUAUUGAAGGGAUAGCUCAAGGCCUACUUUACCACCAUAAGUACUCAGAUCGAGGAUAAUUCAUAGAGAUUUGAAGGCUGGCAACAUACUACUUGAUGAAAAUCUGAACCCCAAAAUUUCUGAUUUUGGCAUGGCAAGAAUUUUCAAGAUUAAUGAUUUACAAGCAAAUACAAACCAAAUUGUUGGAACACGUGGAUAUAUGUCCCCUGAAUAUGUCAUGGAGGGCAUCUUCUCUGUGUAUAAUGUCUUCAGUUUUGGAGUUCUGCUGGAAAUUGUGAGUGGUAGAAGGAUCCAAGGCCUCCUUGAAAUAGACGGUCACCCCCUUAUACUUGUGGGAUAUUUAUGUUCAUUUCAUGCUAUCUCAUAAAUGAUAACAUUUCUAGAUGCAUAAGCUUACUUUUAAGGUUGAGCGUGAAUUUGAUUCAGGCAUGGGAGCUAUGGAAAGCAGGUACCUCAUUUGAGAUGAUGGAUCCAAUACUAAGAGAAUCUUGCUUUAAGGACCAAGUCUUGAGAUGCAUUAACGUUGGCUUGCUAUGCGUGGAAGACACCGCCAUAGAUAGGCCAACCAUGUCAGAUGUUGUAUCGAUGUUAACAAGUGAAGCACAGUUACCGUUGCCCAAACAGCGUGCGUUUUCAAAUCCAAGAACUGCCAUAGACGACGCAGCAAUGAGUUUAAGGAAUCCAGAAAGUAGUUCCAGGAAUUACUUAUCCACUUCAAUUAUGUAUGGACGAUAGUUAUUUGAUAUUUUCAAAACUCGAGUCCUCAAGGACCUUCUCUUGCGAAGAAGAAAAGUAGUUUUUUUGACUUCUCUGCAUUGAUGUGAAUGUUGGCUUCAAAUUGGCCUUGGAAUAUACAGGCAACGUGGAUGGUUCUCUUC
Populus trichocarpa (black cottonwood) is the source of this 1036-nucleotide RNA transcript. RefSeq lists it as uncharacterized. The record is from RefSeq and is a predicted model, not a curated record. The transcript has 2 exons. Lineage: Eukaryota; Viridiplantae; Streptophyta; Magnoliopsida; Malpighiales; Salicaceae.